RNAcentral lists this unclassified non-coding RNA (328 nucleotides) under soil metagenome. Its description in RNAcentral is "partial contains 5.8S ribosomal RNA, internal transcribed spacer 2, and large subunit ribosomal RNA". The stretch from base 1 to 119 matches the Rfam family "5.8S ribosomal RNA", at positions 35 to 154 of the family's 154-position model. The record is from RNAcentral.
GAUGAAGAACGCAGCGAAAUGCGAUAAGUAGUGUGAAUUGCAGAAUUCAGUGAAUCAUCGAAUCUUUGAACGCACAUUGCGCCCCUUGGUAUCCCGAGGGGCAUGCCUGUCGAGCGUCAUUUCACCACUCAAGCCUGGCUUGGUGUUGGGCGACGUCCCCUUUGGGGACGCGCCUCGAAACGCUCGGCGGCGUGGCACCGGCUUUAAGCGUAGCAGAAUCUUUCGCUUUGGAAGUCGGGGCCCCGUCUGCCGGAAGACCUACUCGCAAGGUUGACCUCGGAUCAGGCAGGGAUACCCGCUGAACUUAAGCAUAUCAAUAAGCGGAGGA